Molecule: long non-coding RNA, 1295 nt
Organism: Larimichthys crocea (large yellow croaker)
Lineage: Eukaryota; Metazoa; Chordata; Actinopteri; Sciaenidae
Exons: 3
Source: RefSeq, a predicted model, not a curated record
CUGGUUAUGUGGCGUAACUGACGGCGCUCGGUCAGAAAGGUGUGUGCUCCGGUUAGUCGGCAGAACAACCACGUGACCUCAUUGCCUGCAGAAGAGAGUAAUAAAACACCUGAACUAUCCAUCACCUGCCUCUUCAUUUGGACGUUCCUCCAAUUGUUCUGGCUGGCACCCCGCUGUGAUACAGUACAUCACCUGCAGUGUCUUCACUACACUUAUUUGACUCAUGUUGAAGCUUCUCCUCUCCCGUGGAGAGUGUGGAAGCUGACAGCAUUAGUAAACAGCACUGGAAGAAUGUCAAAGCUGUUACUGUUAUUGUUCAAAACUCUGUCAAGAGGAUGAGGGGGAACUGUCCGUCUGGUCACGAAAAGAAACAGAACACCUUGAGCGCAAGGACGCUGGAAGUGGGCUUGUUACCGGCCAGCCCUGUCCUUUUAAGACGGUGGCCCGGCACGUGUGUGUGACGUACAGGUGCAAACAGGUAAACCCAGGAGCAGGUACACAUCCAGUGUGUUAGAUGUACACAGCAGAGUUAGCUCAUGUGAACGCCCGAGUGUUUUAGCCCGCAGCAGUGUCCAGUCAGGUUUUGAAUCGGCCCGGUGUGUGUUCUGCUUUUUGAUAAAAAGAGGAAUUAAAUGUGCCACUACUUCGUCCUCCUUUCUUCCCACACUUUUACCCGGACUCUCCGACGCCAGUUACCAGCAACGAGCCAAAACAUCAAACCAGUUCCCAACUACGGUUCGGAGCGAGAGAAGGUUUAAAAAGGUAACACUAUGUUACUUGUUUAUAACGCUGUCUAGUGCCUAAUCUCAGUACCUUGUGCGUGAAAUUAAAUAUAUGAGGUCUUAAUUAAAGACAUAUUCUGAGAAAUACUUGCAUUUCAUGUGUGAUUCAAUGAAGCACAUUCACAUUCCUGAGUUGAGCAUUACGUUGCCAUCAAGUUGGCCUUAUGAUGUAUUUCUAAAACCUCUGUAGGUCUAAUACAGGUUGGUUGUGAUGACAUCUCAUUGUAAAUUAUAGCCUGUAUCACAUGAUUACUAAGCAUAUAAAUAACCAAGUGUAACACCCUAUCGAGAACAUUAUUUAUUUAUGUAUGUUGCCCUUUCGCAUUAUGACGUCAUCGGAACGUUUCUCAGCCCCCCCCCAACUGUGAAUUACUUCCAGCGUCCCUGCUUGAGCGGGAACUGUGGAAACAGCAGACAGGGAAACUUCAGUCUGAUGUCGGCAAAAAACAUUCAAGUUAAGUUGUAGUGUUCAAUUCAUCUCUUGGUCUGUGACUAACGUCAGAUGAACUAUAA